GACGAACGCUGGCGGCGCGCCUAACACAUGCAAGUCGAACGAGCGAGAGAGAGCUUGCUUUCUCGAGCGAGUGGCGAACGGGUGAGUAACGCGUGAGGAACCUGCCUCAAAGAGGGGGACAACAGUUGGAAACGACUGCUAAUACCGCAUAAGCCCACGGUGCCGCAUGGCACAGAGGGAAAAGGAGCAAUCCGCUUUGAGAUGGCCUCGCGUCCGAUUAGCUAGUUGGUGAGGUAACGGCCCACCAAGGCGACGAUCGGUAGCCGGACUGAGAGGUUGAACGGCCACAUUGGGACUGAGACACGGCCCAGACUCCUACGGGAGGCAGCAGUGGGGAAUAUUGCACAAUGGGGGAAACCCUGAUGCAGCGACGCCGCGUGGAGGAAGAAGGUCUUCGGAUUGUAGACUCCUGUUGUUGGGGAAGAUAAUGACGGUACCCAACAAGGAAGUGACGGCUAACUACGUGCCAGCAGCCGCGGUAAAACGUAGGUCACAAGCGUUGUCCGGAAUUACUGGGUGUAAAGGGAGCGCAGGCGGGAAGACAAGUUGGAAGUGAAAUCUAUGGGCUCAACCCAUAAACUGCUUUCAAAACUGUUUUUCUUGAGUAGUGCAGAGGUAGGCGGAAUUCCCGGUGUAGCGGUGGAAUGCGUAGAUAUCGGGAGGAACACCAGUGGCGAAGGCGGCCUACUGGGCACCAACUGACGCUGAGGCUCGAAAGUGUGGGUAGCAAACAGGAUUAGAUACCCUGGUAGUCCACACCGUAAACGAUGAUUACUAGGUGUUGGAGGAUUGACCCCUUCAGUGCCGCAGUUAACACAAUAAGUAAUCCACCUGGGGAGUACGACCGCAAGGUUGAAACUCAAAGGAAUUGACGGGGGCCCGCACAAGCAGUGGAGUAUGUGGUUUAAUUCGACGCAACGCGAAGAACCUUACCAAGUCUUGACAUCCCUUGACAGACAUAGAAAUAUGUAAUCUCUUCGGAGCAAGGAGACAGGUGGUGCAUGGUUGUCGUCAGCUCGUGUCGUGAGAUGUUGGGUUAAGUCCCGCAACGAGCGCAACCCUUAUGGUCAGUUACUACGCAAGAGGACUCUGGCCAGACUGCCGUUGACAAAACGGAGGAAGGUGGGGAUGACGUCAAAUCAUCAUGCCCUUUAUGACUUGGGCUACACACGUACUACAAUGGCGUUAAACAAAGAGAAGCAAGACCGCGAGGUGGAGCAAAACUCAGAAACAACGUCCCAGUUCGGACUGCAGGCUGCAACUCGCCUGCACGAAGUCGGAAUUGCUAGUAAUCGUGGAUCAGCAUGCCACGGUGAAUACGUUCCCGGGCCU
RNAcentral lists this ribosomal RNA (1332 nucleotides) under uncultured bacterium. Its description in RNAcentral is "bacterial SSU rRNA". It matches the Rfam family "Bacterial small subunit ribosomal RNA", at positions 28 to 1381 of the family's 1533-position model. The record is from RNAcentral.